Molecule: ribosomal RNA, 253 nt
Filed under: uncultured bacterium
Lineage: Bacteria
Description: partial 16S ribosomal RNA
Rfam family: Bacterial small subunit ribosomal RNA
Source: RNAcentral
UACGAAGGGGGCUAGCGUUGUUCGGAUUUACUGGGCGUAAAGCGCGUGUAGGCGGGCCGCUAAGUUAGGGGUGAAAUCCCGGAGCUCAACUCCGGAACUGCCUCUAAGACUGGUGGCCUGGAGCAGAGGAGAGGCGAGCGGAAUUCUGAGUGUAGAGGUGAAAUUUGUAGAUAGUCGGAGGAACUCCAGUGGCGAAGGCGGCUCGCUUGACUCUUGGUGACGCUGAGACGCGAAAGCGUGGGGAGCAAACAGG